Molecule: ribosomal RNA, 460 nt
Filed under: uncultured bacterium
Lineage: Bacteria
Description: partial 16S ribosomal RNA
Rfam family: Bacterial small subunit ribosomal RNA
Source: RNAcentral
CCUACGGGAGGCAGCAGUGAGGAAUAUUGGUCAAUGGACGGAAGUCUGAACCAGCCAUGCCGCGUGCAGGAAGACGGCUCUAUGAGUUGUAAACUGCUUUUGGACAAGGGUAAACCUGAAUACAUGUACCUAGCUGAAAGUACUGUACGAAUAAGGAUCGGCUAACUCCGUGCCAGCAGCCGCGGUAAUACGGAGGAGCCAAGCGUUAUCCGGAUUUAUUGGGUUUAAAGGGUGCGUAGGCGGAUUGAUAAGUGAGAGGUGAAAUGGCCGGGCUUACAUCGGGAACAGCGUCUAAUACUGUUGAUGUAGAGAGUAGAUGCGGUAGGGGGAAUGUAUGGUGUAGCGGGGAAAUGCUUAGAGAUCAUACAGAACACUGAUUGCGAAGGCAGCUUACCAAGCUAUACCUGACGUGGAGGCACGAAAGCGUGGGGAGCAAACAGGAUUAGAUACCCCAGUAGUC